Molecule: long non-coding RNA, 875 nt
Organism: Oryza brachyantha (malo sina)
Lineage: Eukaryota; Viridiplantae; Streptophyta; Magnoliopsida; Poales; Poaceae
Exons: 4
Source: RefSeq, a predicted model, not a curated record
UGUGCAGGCAUGCAUGUGUCCACCAUGCGUGCGUUUGCAUUGGGUCCUUUGGCUGUACGAUCGAUUGCAUGAUCAUUCAACUACUGAGGUGGGCGAUGCAAAGAGGACGGCAUGUGAAUAGGAGGUGAUGACAGACACCUGUGUCCAAUUUGGUUGGUUAGGGCCUUGCGAAAGAGAAGGGAAGAAGGGGCGUACCUAGGUACAGGUAGCUACCGUGGCGUGGCGUUGUCCUUGUGGAAAAGGAAGGUAGGGUCGUACCUACACACCUGCACAGGACACCGGGAAGAUGUACAUUUCUACCUGUUUUAGACAUGCUAAUAGUGCAAUAUUACUCAAUAAGUAGACUAUUAAUAUUUAUGUGAUACCUGAUGCGCAGGAACAUGUUUAGUAGCAGGUCAUUAAAAGUACACUAGCAGAUGCUAGUGUCUCUUUCUGGUCACAAUAGAGUAUACAAAUCACUUUCAGACGUAGCUGAUGAGGACCAGGCUUGGUACUUGCAUGCACGUGAAUCCCUAUGCUUUUUAUCUGCACAUGCCGGCGCCGUUUUGAUCAGAUCGUCAAAUCUUGUCAUCUUCCUACUGCGGUGAAUCUUUCUCGUGCUGAGAGCCUUUACAGGCUAUACAACUCUGUCAGAGUAGUGUCUCCUUUUUAAAGACUACUACAUGCCUCUCAUUCUUCUUUGAAAAUUGAAAUAAUCACAUGCCUCUGUUGGGAGAGCUUCAACACAAUCAGUGAAUUUUUCUGCAUUUUCAAAUGAGUUCCACAAACCUUAGUGAUGAAACUUCGGGAAGAUGCCAGUGGAAUAUUUUGGUAUAGGAGUACUAUGUUAACGAACGGAAUGCUAUAUUACCUCUGUCCCAAGACAAUUUUUAAAA